UGUUCGCCCAUUAAAGCGGUACGCGAGCUGGGUUCAGAACGUCGUGAGACAGUUCGGUCCCUAUCCGUCGUGGGCGUAGGAAAUUUGAGAGGAGCUGUCCUUAGUACGAGAGGACCGGGAUGGACACACCGCUGGUGUACCAGUUGUCUUGCCAAAGGCAUCGCUGGGUAGCUAUGUGUGGACGGGAUAAGUGCUGAAAGCAUCUAAGCAUGAAGCCCCCCUCAAGAUGAGAUUUCCCAUUACGCAAGUAAGUAAGAUCCCUCAAAGACGAUGAGGUAGAUAGGUUCGAGGUGGAAGUGUGGUGACACAUGGAGCUGACGAAUACUAAUCGAUCGAGGACUUAACCA
RNAcentral lists this ribosomal RNA (347 nucleotides) under Lysinibacillus sp. TC-37. Its description in RNAcentral is "bacterial LSU rRNA". It matches the Rfam family "Bacterial large subunit ribosomal RNA", at positions 2578 to 2925 of the family's 2925-position model. The record is from RNAcentral. Lineage: Bacteria; Bacillati; Bacillota; Bacilli; Caryophanales; Bacillaceae.